CUCCGAAUGCCAGGGUGUGAGAGCGCGGCAGUGAGACUGCGGGGGAUAAGCUUCGUAGUCGAGAGGGAAACAGCCCAGAUCGCCGGCUAAGGCCCCUAAGCGUGUACUAAGUGGAAAAGGAUGUGGAGUCGCGAAGACAACCAGGAGGUUGGCUUAGAAGCAGCCACCCUUGAAAGAGUGCGUAAUAGCUCACUGGUCAAGUGAUUCUGCGCCGACAAUGUAGCGGGGCUCAAGUACACCGCCGAAGCCGCGGCAUUCACAUAAGCCCGCCUUCCCCUCAUGGGGGGUUGGCCAGGUGUGUGGAUGGGUAGGGGAGCGUCGUGCAGCCGUGGAAGCAGCGGGGUGANAGAAACUCUUCCGCCGAAUGACCAAGGGUUCCUGGGCCAGGUUAAUCCGCCCAGGGUGAGUCGGGACCUAAGGCGAGGCCGACAGGCGUAGUCGAUGGACAACGGGUUGAUAUUCCCGUACCCGUGUGAACGCGCCCCUGAUGAAUCAGGAGUACUAACCGUCCAAAUGGCUUGUGGGUUCCUUCGGGUUCCUGUUGGCCGGCUGCACGGGACCUUUCCUGGUAGUAGUCAAGCGAUGGGGUGACGCAGGAAGGUAGCUGGGCCCGGUGGUGGAUUACCGGGUGUAAGCCUGUAGGGCG
RNAcentral lists this ribosomal RNA (646 nucleotides) under Rhodococcus sp. HNM0569. RNAcentral's name for it is "partial 23S ribosomal RNA". It matches the Rfam family "Bacterial large subunit ribosomal RNA", at positions 954 to 1527 of the family's 2925-position model. The record is from RNAcentral. Lineage: Bacteria; Bacillati; Actinomycetota; Actinomycetes; Mycobacteriales; Nocardiaceae.